ACCAAUCCCACCAUAUUGAAGCAUAGCCGAAAAACUCAAGGGUGGCCAACUUAAGCUUUUUCUCUUCACUAUAAUUAUGGUAACUGAAGAUGUGAUUGACCUUCUGUUCCUACUCGAGGUAGGCCUUUGGGUCAUUCUUCCCUUUAAAGGCUGGUAUCUAGAAUUUAAAGUCAUAUAGGUCCAUGUCCGCCUCAUCGCGACGGCCUCCCUAUUUGUCACCAGCGUCAUCGCCACAAGACCCUAUCUCUUCUCGCACUAUUUCGCAUCGGGUGCCAUUGCGAUGUUCGCGUCACUCCUGACGAUCCAUGCGGGCAGCCAUGUUUCCCAAUUGGAGACUUAACUGGGUGAACAUGCCCAGGACCCUUUUUUCUAUGGUGGCUAGUCUGUUGUUGACACUUUGGGGAUACAUUGCGAAGUUCCUACAAAGACAAGAGUUAGUGAAAGUAAAAACUCUCCCUUACCUCUGCUCAUGUUUACCUUGCAAUCUCUCAAUUGACAACUUUCUUUGUUGAGUUGAAUGUUCAGAAUCAGAAUCAUUUGUAUUGGGUUUGCAUGUUAGUCCUUAU
Molecule: long non-coding RNA, 566 nt
Filed under: Carica papaya (papaya)
Lineage: Eukaryota; Viridiplantae; Streptophyta; Magnoliopsida; Brassicales; Caricaceae
Description: long non-coding RNA (CPAP_LNC010066)
Source: RNAcentral